RNAcentral lists this long non-coding RNA (500 nucleotides) under Salmo salar (Atlantic salmon). Its description in RNAcentral is "lncRNA (ENSSSAG00000091343.1)". The record is from RNAcentral. Lineage: Eukaryota; Metazoa; Chordata; Actinopteri; Salmoniformes; Salmonidae.
GAGAGAUUGAGAAACAGGUUCUAUCUCCAGGCCAUCAGAUUGUUAAACAGCUUCUAUCUCCAGGCCAUCAGACUGGUAAACAGCUUCUAUCUCCAGGACAUCAGACUGGUAAACAGCUUCUAUCUCCAGGCCAUCAGACUGAUAAACAGCUUCUAUCUCCAGGCCAUCAGACUGAAAAACAGCUUCUAUCUCCAGGCCAUCAGACUGGUAAACAGCUUCUAUCUCCAGGCCAUCAGACUGAUAAACAGCUUCUAUCUCCAGGCCAUCAGACUGAUAAACAGCUUCUAUCUCCAGACCAUCAGACUGAUAAACAGCUUCUAUCUCCAGACCAUCAGACUGGUAAACAGCUUCUAUCUCCAGACCAUCAGACUGAUAAACAGCUUCUAUCUCCAGACCAUCAGACUGAUAAACAGCUUCUAUCUCCAGACCAUCAGACUGGUAAACAGCUUCUAUCUCCAGACCAUCAGACUGAUAAACAGCUUCUAUCUCCAGACCAUCAG